GUAGAAGUGAUGCAAGCAGUGAAUGGGAAAUCAGGAAAAUUUCCAUUAACCUCUGCCUAAGUCCUUUAGGGCUCUGUCUCUGUUUUGUUCCUCUUAAGGCUGUCACCUCUAUGCCCAACGAUUAUCUCAUUGGUUCCAGGACAUUGUUACCAUUUAUCUCCACUGGACAUCUAUUUUCUUUCCAAAAGGUCCCAAUUUGGGCCCUGACUCUGCUGGAGAGAAGAGAAAGACCGAGAAGCAGCCUACCCUACCUGUAG
RNAcentral lists this long non-coding RNA (257 nucleotides) under Macaca fascicularis (crab-eating macaque). Its description in RNAcentral is "lncRNA (ENSMFAG00000054251.1)". Lineage: Eukaryota; Metazoa; Chordata; Mammalia; Primates; Cercopithecidae. The record is from RNAcentral.